This 289-nucleotide ribosomal RNA is filed under the name uncultured bacterium. Its description in RNAcentral is "partial 16S ribosomal RNA". It matches the Rfam family "Bacterial small subunit ribosomal RNA", at positions 29 to 309 of the family's 1533-position model. The record is from RNAcentral.
AACGAACGCUGGCGGCGCGUUUUAAGCAUGCAAGUCGGACGGUAGGCGAGUGGCAACACUUGCUGAGAGUGGCGAACGGGUGAGUAACACGUAGACAAUCUGGCCCUGGGACAGGGAUAGCUCAUGGAAACAUGGGGUAAUACCUGGUGAGGUCCUGGAGACUGAGGUAUUUGGGAUGAAAGGCUUCAAUUGGAGCGCCUGGGGGUGAGUCUGCGGUCCAUUAGCUAGUUGGUGAGGUAACGGCCCACCAAGGCAACGAUGGAUAGCCGGCUUGAGAGGGUGAACGGCC